GUGGCCAUUUGCUCACAACUGGCGCCACAUCGGAGAGAGGGCCAGAGGCAGAGUGCAUCAUGGGUAAAUGAGCACACAGCGCCUGGCGUUUUAUAGACGCCGGGCUCGAAAGUGGGGGCAACGUGAGAGAGAGAGAGAUAAAUUGUAUGCUUGACGACAUUAGUGACGAGUUUACAGGAAAACAGAAAAGUGGGUGGCGUCAAAUCUUAACACUCAAACACUUAGCCAUGUACCUGUUAGCCUGGAAUUAGCGUACGGAGUUGUACGGAACGCCAUCACAGUGGAAGUAAAAAUGAACAUCAUAACAAGCUCAAAGAGAGGAGAAACAAACACAGAUGCUCUGUAUUACCAAGUCUCAGAAUCCCUUUGCGGCUCCGUUGUGGUCAUCGGAAGCGUUCCGUAAGAUUGAAAUCCCUCCUGUAGGCUCACACUCGCUCUGUGCGGUGCAGUUCCGUGUCUACCGACACCACAGACGUCAGAAUACUACUCUCUAGACAAGCGACCGUUAUCACCGACUGGGAAGAGGUUCAUCGUGGGAUAUUGCCACCUGGAUGGCACCUCCUUUUCUGGAAACGAGGAGUGCGAAGCCGCUAACGAGUUAGCAUGUCUACAUGGGUGCAAGGUUGUAGGGACCCACACACACACACACACACACACACCCACACACACAGCGACAGUCACUGACAAACAACCCUCUUGACACACACACUUAGGCCAAAACCACCAAACAAAGUCGGCACCACAACAUACACACACAUAUAUACAAAAAAAGAAAUAGCGACACACACGGCGAUAGCGCCUGCAGACUUUCUCUCAGUUUCUUCAGACUUGUUGAUUUUAUAUUUCACAUAAGAAGACAGUAUUCGCAGGUUGCCAUUAAUACUGCAUUCAGGAACCUAUUCGGAAUAUGUUUUUGAAAUAUUCAUUCAUUCAUUUUCCACCGCUUUUUCCUCACAAGAGUCACGGGGGGCGCCGGAGCCCAUCCCAGCCGUCUUUGGGCGAGAGGCGGGGUACACCCUGGACUGGUCACCAGCCAAUCACAGGGCACAUAUAGACAAACAACCAUUCACACUCACAUUCAUACCUAUGAACAAUUUGGAGUCGCCAAUUAACCGAGCAUGUUUUUGGAAUGGAAAGAAAACCCACGCAUGCACAUGAGAAGAUGCAAACUCGAGGGUGGAAUCGAACCCUGGUCUUCGCCUGUUUUUGUAAUAUUUGCAUCAAAAUGGUGAAACGACACUUGAAAGUUCUGCAACGACCAUUCAUGCAAGAAUACACGGAAAAGUUGACCUGCUGAUGAGGGACCUCAAAUUCAGAAAUCACGUUCAGACCUGUCACUCUGUUCACAAAAAAUCUCCAACCUUCUCAUGUUACAAAUUCCACAGACAGACUGCACUUCAAACAAGUGGUCCUUUAAAAGAGGAUCCCACUGCCAGUUCUGCUUGGUAUACAUAAAUGUCACACCACCAGUUCAGGGUACUUUCAUAUCAUCUGCUUAUUUACAUAGCUUUUGCUGUAAGUUGUCAGCUUGGCUUACAAGAGCAGUAACAGUCACAACAAAAAGAUUAUCUCAAAUUACCGCAGCUGUAGCACAAUCUAUGCCUCCACUGUCUUUUCACUCGCUUGGUGUUGAUCCUGUGAAAACCGAGGUAGGUUCGAUUGCAAGGUGUGCCUAAAGCACUUAAUGUGGGCUUCCAAUAAUGCCUAGCACACUUCCAUUUCUAUAUUACUGUAUUAUCAUUCAU
Molecule: non-coding RNA, 1745 nt
Organism: Doryrhamphus excisus (bluestripe pipefish)
Lineage: Eukaryota; Metazoa; Chordata; Actinopteri; Syngnathiformes; Syngnathidae
Source: RefSeq, a predicted model, not a curated record